This 622-nucleotide ribosomal RNA is filed under the name Triticum aestivum (bread wheat). RNAcentral's name for it is "partial small subunit ribosomal RNA". The record is from RNAcentral. Lineage: Eukaryota; Viridiplantae; Streptophyta; Magnoliopsida; Poales; Poaceae.
AUGCUACCUUGUGAUUUCUUUGCUUCUAACUUGCAUUGCAUGAUGCCAUCACUUAAGGUAGAUUUGAAAAACUAUUUGCUUGGACAUGAUCAUACACACCUUGUUAGUGGCAUUACUCUCAUUUGUGAUGAUCACAGUUACUUUCCUCGUGCUAGUUCUAUGCUUAAUGAAACAUAUCAUUCCCAUGCUAGUCUUGAGCUUAAUGAUAAAUAUCAUCCUCAUGUUAGUGUUGACCUUGCUGAUUUCUACCAUCCUAAACAUGUGCUUUAUAGCUAUGCUUAUGUAAUUGGAUAUUCGAUUGAUGACUUGGAGGGUAUUAUCCCUACCGCUUGCAUUGUUUCUUUUGUUGAGUGCCCUUUCAGGUUUUUGCUACUGCACCGUUCACUACAUGCUGACCAGGUUCGAGGUGACAUCCCUUGGGAUCCUGGUGGAGUCAGAGCAUGGCGAUGAGGAGAAGCAAGGGGCACACACGAAGAAGAGUGAAGCUGGAGCAUGCAUGAGGAAGCAAAAGGAGAGGAGUCGUAAUGCACGAGGAUGUAAGAGUGAUCGAGCGAGACCUACAUCAUAUAAUCCCGGUAGCUGAGCUGGGCUGCAGUGCAGUUCACGGCGACAGAGGUGGCUG